This 292-nucleotide ribosomal RNA is filed under the name uncultured bacterium. RNAcentral's name for it is "partial 16S ribosomal RNA". The record is from RNAcentral. RNAcentral also lists the same sequence under 1 other name.
GGACUACCAGGGUUUCUAAUCCUGUUUGCUCCCCUAGCUUUCGUGCCUCAGUGUCAGGAGUUGUCCAGGGACUCGCCUUCGCCACUGGUGUUCCGCUUGAUAUCUACGCAUUUCACUGCUACACCAAGCAUUCCAGUCCCCCCUCCAACCCUCGAGCGAGGUAGUUUCCAAUGCAGUUUCGGAGUUGAGCUCCGAGAUUUCACAUCCGACUUACCUCACCACCUACGCACCCUUUACGCCCAGUGAAUCCGAACAACGCUUGGGACCUCUGUAUUACCGCGGCUGCUGGCAC